This is a long non-coding RNA of Medicago truncatula (barrel medic), 353 nucleotides long. RefSeq lists it as uncharacterized. The record is from RefSeq and is a predicted model, not a curated record. NCBI's taxonomy places the organism in Eukaryota, Viridiplantae, Streptophyta, Magnoliopsida, Fabales, Fabaceae. The transcript has 2 exons.
UACUUUUCUUUUUAGGGAAGGAAAUUUCUACUUAUAAAGCCAAAAAAAAAUUCUAUUUAUUACAUGGAGAUGAAAAUAUGACUCAAAUUCUCAAGUUUAUUUACACUUUAAUCAUCUUUCUUUCUCUAUUUCUUGUUGAAACCAACAGUGCUCCGAAACCAUGUGUUACUGUUAAGGAUUGUCCCAAGACGGUUUUUCCUAUAGGUUAUAAGUGCAUUAAAAAUCUUUGUAUACUGGUUAUAUAAUUAUAAUGUAACAAUAUACUUUUUUUUUGUUACUGUAACAAUAUACAUAUGAUGUAUGCUAUUUUGAUCUUUAAUAUAUUAAUAAUACAUAAAUGUUAAGAUUAAAUA